Molecule: non-coding RNA, 526 nt
Organism: Paramuricea clavata
Lineage: Eukaryota; Metazoa; Cnidaria; Anthozoa; Malacalcyonacea; Plexauridae
Source: the annotation of a GenBank genome assembly
AGCGAGCAAACAUUAUGUUACAAUCGUGGUUGGGUCAAACAAUAUGUGGAAAGCAAAAGUAGCGAAGCUAAAGAGAUUAAAAUUGGAUUUAGUGCGUAUAUUUGAAAAAAAUUACCACCAAAUAUGGUAUCCCCCCCCCCGUUCACAACACUUGUGACGUCAUUUACAUACGGGACUUCUGGGGCGGGUUUUGGCGGGAAAAUCUGUAAUGUUUGGAGAAGACAAGAUGGCGCCGGUUACCUCCUGUCAUAUCAAAGGGCAUUUUUGUUCACAAAUACCCGCUUAUUUUACGUUAUAGCGACUGGUUAGUUUUGGAAAUUAUAACUCAAUGGACGGGGAAAACGAUUCUGUAUUAAAGAGAAAAAGAUGUGCAGUUAUUGUGAUGUUAUUUGUUGUGAAAGACGGCCCGAAAUUUCGCUACAUCGCAGUACUGGUUUAUAAAACAUUUACAAGCAACAGCAAUUGAACUAUAUGACAAAGAAACCAAUAUAUACAAGCUAAUCAAUUUCUUCUGUUUAAAGGUCAG